UACGAAGGGGGCUAGCGUUGCUCGGAAUCACUGGGCGUAAAGGGUGCGUAGGCGGGUUUUUAAGUCAGGGGUGAAAUCCUGGAGCUCAACUCCAGAACUGCCUUUGAUACUGAAGAUCUUGAGUUCGGGAGAGGUGAGUGGAACUGCGAGUGUAGAGGUGAAAUUCGUAGAUAUUCGCAAGAGCACCAGUGGCGAAGGCGGCUCACUGGCCCGGUACUGACGCUGAGGUGCGAAAGCGUGGGGAGCAAACAGG
RNAcentral lists this ribosomal RNA (253 nucleotides) under uncultured bacterium. RNAcentral's name for it is "partial 16S ribosomal RNA". It matches the Rfam family "Bacterial small subunit ribosomal RNA", at positions 524 to 776 of the family's 1533-position model. The record is from RNAcentral.